Molecule: ribosomal RNA, 154 nt
Filed under: uncultured Clostridium sp.
Lineage: Bacteria; Bacillati; Bacillota; Clostridia; Eubacteriales; Clostridiaceae
Description: partial 16S ribosomal RNA
Rfam family: Bacterial small subunit ribosomal RNA
Source: RNAcentral
AGCGAUUGCGCAUGGGGGAAGCCUGAGCGCAACGCCGCGUGCGUGAUGAAGGCCUUCGGGUUGUAAAACUCUUUGGACAGGGACGAAGAAAGUGACGGUACCUGUAGAACAAGCCACGGCUAACUACGUGCCAGCAGCCGCGGUAAUACAAUCA